GACGAACGCUGGCGGCGUGCUUAACACAUGCAAGUCGAACGCUGAAGCCUGGCUUUUGUUGGGUGGAUGAGUGGCGAACGGGUGAGUAACGCGUGAGUAACCUGCCCCCUUCUUUGGGAUAACGCCCGGAAACGGGUGCUAAUACUGGAUAUUCACUGGCCUUCGCAUGGGGGUUGGUGGAAAGGUUUGUUCUGGUGGGGGAUGGGCUCGCGGCCUAUCAGCUUGUUGGUGGGGUGAUGGCCUACCAAGGCUUUGACGGGUAGCCGGCCUGAGAGGGUGACCGGUCACAUUGGGACUGAGAUACGGCCCAGACUCCUACGGGAGGCAGCAGUGGGGAAUAUUGCACAAUGGGCGAAAGCCUGAUGCAGCGACGCCGCGUGAGGGAUGGAGGCCUUCGGGUUGUAAACCUCUUUCGCUCAUGGUCAAGCCGCAACUGUGGGUUGUGGUGAGGGUAGUGGGUAAAGAAGCGCCGGCUAACUACGUGCCAGCAGCCGCGGUAAUACGUAGGGCGCGAGCGUUGUCCGGAAUUAUUGGGCGUAAAGGGCUUGUAGGCGGUUGGUCGCGUCUGCCGUGAAAUCCUCUGGCUUAACUGGGGGCGUGCGGUGGGUACGGGCUGACUUGAGUGCGGUAGGGGAGACUGGAACUCCUGGUGUAGCGGUGGAAUGCGCAGAUAUCAGGAAGAACACCGGUGGCGAAGGCGGGUCUCUGGGCCGUUACUGACGCUGAGGAGCGAAAGCGUGGGGAGCGAACAGG
RNAcentral lists this ribosomal RNA (753 nucleotides) under uncultured Actinomyces sp. Its description in RNAcentral is "bacterial SSU rRNA". It matches the Rfam family "Bacterial small subunit ribosomal RNA", at positions 28 to 776 of the family's 1533-position model. Lineage: Bacteria; Bacillati; Actinomycetota; Actinomycetes; Actinomycetales; Actinomycetaceae. The record is from RNAcentral.